GUAGUUGUGUUCUUAUUUUUUGGCUCAUUUGCUGGCAUAUUGCAGCUCUGCAAAAAUCGAGAUCACCGACUAAUCGAGCUGAGAAGGCAGUCAGAGUAGCCACUCAUUUUCAGCAGGAUUCAAGUUUUUAUAGACCCAACGUGGAUAAGUUAAAAAAAUCCCUGACAGAGAUGUAGAGGGGAGUGAAAGAGCUCGUCAGAGUGGACUCGCAAAUGCCCAUAUGUGCCUCGUUUGUGUGCCAUUCUCGAUUAAAGCUGCAACUGCCUAGCAGGCAUGGUUUCCAGUUCUGUCCAAAGCAACACAGAUGCCAGCAGCUCACAAACAGGAGCCAUCAGCCACCAUUACGCCUCGAAGAGACUUCAAUCACUCUGCUGAUGACACGUUCAAAGUGCUGCUUCUGACAAAAUAUUUCCCUUGGGGGGGACCUCACACACUUAACGUUGGGUGCACCAGACAGAGGGAGCAAAAGCGCUAAACACAGCUAGUAAUUAGUGGUCUUGAUAAUGGGGCAAGGCCAAGGAAGGUUGCCAAUAAUCUGGCCUAAUUGCUCAGAUGUAUGCCAAAGCGUUCGUCUAGGACUGGGUGGUAGAUAAUGGCUUUGGCAGGUGCUGCCAGGGAUAUGUUCCUGGUGACAUGAGCCUUUAAUGACCACUGGAGUGUGUGCGUCUGUGUGUGUGUUGGGUAGAGGGGGAUAUGGGAAUGGGAAGCCUGUGCAAAAGCAAAAGGACAGUUUAAAAAUGGCAGAUAAUGCCAAUACAUUCUAUUAUAUUAUUUAAUAACUGUCUUCAAAUAUCCUUCAAUCAAUAUUUCCUCAGAGGUUUUAAUGAAAG
Long non-coding RNA from Cyprinodon tularosa, 830 nucleotides. RefSeq lists it as uncharacterized. The record is from RefSeq and is a predicted model, not a curated record. NCBI's taxonomy places the organism in Eukaryota, Metazoa, Chordata, Actinopteri, Cyprinodontiformes, Cyprinodontidae. The transcript is spliced from 3 exons.